GCUGGCGGCAGGCCUACACAUGCAAGUCGAGCGGAAACGAGUUAUCUGAACCUUCGGGGAACGAUAACGGCGUCGAGCGGCGGACGGGUGAGUAAUGCCUGGGAAAUUGCCCUGAUGUGGGGGAUAACUAUUGGAAACGAUAGCUAAUACCGCAUAAUGUCUACGGACCAAAGAGGGGGACCUUCGGGCCUCUCGCUUCAGGAUAUGCCCAGGUGGGAUUAGCUAGUUGGUGAGGUAAUGGCUCACCAAGGCGACGAUCCCUAGCUGGUCUGAGAGGAUGAUCAGCCACACUGGAACUGAGACACGGUCCAGACUCCUACGGGAGGCAGCAGUGGGGAAUAUUGCACAAUGGGCGCAAGCCUGAUGCAGCCAUGCCGCGUGUAUGAAGAAGCCUUCGGGUUGUAAAGUACUUUCAGUCGUGAGGAAGG
This 428-nucleotide ribosomal RNA is filed under the name Vibrio sp. P1-5. RNAcentral's name for it is "bacterial SSU rRNA". It matches the Rfam family "Bacterial small subunit ribosomal RNA", at positions 35 to 451 of the family's 1533-position model. The record is from RNAcentral. Lineage: Bacteria; Pseudomonadati; Pseudomonadota; Gammaproteobacteria; Vibrionales; Vibrionaceae.